GAUGAACGCGGCGGCGUGCUUAACACAUGCAAGUCGAACGAAGCUGCCCAAAGGAAGUUUUCGGAUGGAAUUUAGGUAGACUUAGUGGCGGACGGGUGAGUAACGCGUGGAUAACCUGCCUUAUACAGGGGGAUAACGGAGAGAAAUUUCCGCUAACACCGCAUAAGACCACAGCACCGCAUGGUGCAGGGGUAAAAUAUUUAUAGGUAUAAGAUGGAUCCGCGUCCGAUUAGCUAGUUGGUGAGGUAAAGGCCCACCAAGGCGACGAUCGGUAGCCGGCCUGAGAGGGUGAACGGCCACAUUGGGACUGAGACACGGCCCAAACUCCUACGGGAGGCAGCAGUGGGGAAUAUUGGACAAUGGGGGAAACCCUGAUCCAGCGACGCCGCGUGAGUGAAGAAGUAUUUCGGUAUGUAAAGCUCUAUCAGCAGGGAAGAAAAUGACGGUACCUGAUAAGAGCCCCGG
RNAcentral lists this ribosomal RNA (465 nucleotides) under Lachnospiraceae bacterium oral taxon 107. RNAcentral's name for it is "bacterial SSU rRNA". It matches the Rfam family "Bacterial small subunit ribosomal RNA", at positions 28 to 496 of the family's 1533-position model. Lineage: Bacteria; Bacillati; Bacillota; Clostridia; Lachnospirales; Lachnospiraceae. The record is from RNAcentral.